UACGUAGGUGACAAAUGUUAUCCGGAAUUACUGGGCGUAAAGGGUCUGUAGGCGGUUUUUUAGGUCUGGUGUGACAUCUCGCGGCUUAACUGCGAGCGCGCACUGGAAACCGGAAGACUGGAAUCACGUCGAGGUCGGUGGAAUUCCCGGUGUAGUGGUGGAAUGCGUAGAGAUCGGGAGGAACCUCGAAAGCGAAGGCAGCCGGCUAGACGAUGAUUGACGCUGAGGGACGAUAGCGUGGGUAGCAAAC
RNAcentral lists this ribosomal RNA (250 nucleotides) under uncultured bacterium. RNAcentral's name for it is "partial 16S ribosomal RNA". It matches the Rfam family "Bacterial small subunit ribosomal RNA", at positions 524 to 773 of the family's 1533-position model. The record is from RNAcentral.